CGUGUAGGCGGCCUGGUAAGUACCUUGUGAAAUCCCCCGUCUCAACCGGGGCACUGCUUGGUAUACUGCCGGGCUUGAGGUGGGUAGGGGUGCCUGGAACUCUAGGUGGAGCGGUGAAAUGCGUAGAUAUCUAGAGGAACGCCUGUGGCGAAAGCGGGGCACUGGGCCUAUCCUGACGCUGAGGCGCGAAAGCGUGGGUAGCAAACGGGAUUAGAUACCCCGGUAGUCCACGCCGUAAACGAUGCGCACUAGGCAUAUUGGUCUCUGACGGCCAGUGAGCCGAAACAAAAGCGUUAAGUGCGCCGCCUGGGGAGUACGGCCGCAAGGCUAAAA
Molecule: ribosomal RNA, 333 nt
Filed under: uncultured bacterium
Lineage: Bacteria
Description: bacterial SSU rRNA
Rfam family: Bacterial small subunit ribosomal RNA
Source: RNAcentral